CACGUAGGGGGCAAGCGUUGUCCGGAUUUAUUGGGCGUAAAGAGCUCGUAGGUGGUUCGGUAAGUCAGGUGUGAAACCUCCAGGCUCAACCUGGAGACGCCACUUGAUACUGCUGUGACUGGAGUCCGGUAGGGGAGCGUGGAAUUCCUGGUGUAGCGGUGAAAUGCGCAGAUAUCGGGAAGAACACCCGUGGCGAAGGCGGUUCUCUGGGCAACAACUGACGCUGAGGAGCGAAAGCGUGGGGAGCGAACAGG
Molecule: ribosomal RNA, 254 nt
Filed under: uncultured bacterium
Lineage: Bacteria
Description: partial 16S ribosomal RNA
Rfam family: Bacterial small subunit ribosomal RNA
Source: RNAcentral